AUGGCGUCGCCGCCUCCCCCCGCCUUCGCUCUCGGCUCUCUGGAUGCCGUCCGCCUCUUCGUCCAGGCCAACGGGCGGGUCCACUUCUACGACGCCGUGGAGAUCACGUCCAUGCGUGUGAGGGAUGCGCGGGAAGCGCUCAGGCUUCUGCCAGCGCCGCAGCCUGAAGGUGCGGCGAGGCUUCCGCCGCCGUCGCCGCCGCGCGAAGAUGGGGCGAGGCUGAUCAUCACCAACAACCGCGCCCGCGUCGAGCACCUCGCCACCGCCGGCCUCAUGCUGGAGUCCACGGACAUGAUCCUGGACGACCUGCUCCGAGAGGUGAACGAGCGACGCGUCAACCAGGAGCAUGUCGAGGGGCUGCGCCGCAACGCGCAAUUCAUCAUCAACAGCGUCGUCCUCCAGGACCCUCUCUUCUUCUCCUUCGUCGACGAUGUCGCCAAGGAGAUGCUCGGCGUCGCCGACAAGUUGAAGCCGCCGUGCCGCUACUUCGCGCAGCUGCAUCACGCGCUGCAGACCCUCAAGGCGACCGUGAACGCGCUUCGAGACCGAGACGUCGUUCUCUCGACCCCGAGCCCGACGAGCGACCUGCCCGCGCCAGGCCCCGCCGUGAUCCUGGGCAUCGGCGCGCCCUCACCCGCGCCCGCGACAGGCCCCGCCGUGAUCCUGGCCAUCGGCGCGGCCUCGCCCGCGCCCGCGCCGGCGACCGGCCCCGCCGCCGAGCCGCUCGCCGUGGACGAGGAGGAGGCGCCCGCGUCCGAGAAGCCGCUCGCCGUGGAUGAGGAGGAGGCGGCCGCGUCCGAGAAGCCGCUCGCCCUGGAGAAGAAGGCGGCCGCGUCCGAGAAGCCGCUCGCCCUGGAGGAGAAGGCGGCCGCGUCCGAGAAGCCGCUCGCCCUGGAGGAGAAGGCGGCCGCGUCCGAGAAGCCGCUCGCCCUGGAGGAGAAGGCGGCCGCGUCCGAGACUCCGCUCACCCUGGAGGAGAAGGCGGCCGCGUCCGAGCAGCCGAAGGCGCUCGCCCUGCAGGAGAAGGCGGCCGCGUCGGAGAAGCAGAAGUCGCUCGCCCUCGAGGAGAAGACCGCCGCGUCGGAGAAGCUGAUGGCGCCCAUCAACGCCGACCUCGCCGACCCGGAGGCACUCGACGCCUCAGAGGCCACCGCAGACGCGUUCCGCCCAGGCUCAACCGAUGGGCCCGCUCCGGAUGCCGCCGGCGUGGAGGAUGAUACCGCAGCAUGA
RNAcentral lists this ribosomal RNA (1230 nucleotides) under Triticum aestivum (bread wheat). Its description in RNAcentral is "partial small subunit ribosomal RNA". Lineage: Eukaryota; Viridiplantae; Streptophyta; Magnoliopsida; Poales; Poaceae. The record is from RNAcentral.